This 502-nucleotide ribosomal RNA is filed under the name uncultured bacterium. RNAcentral's name for it is "partial 16S ribosomal RNA". It matches the Rfam family "Bacterial small subunit ribosomal RNA", at positions 28 to 507 of the family's 1533-position model. The record is from RNAcentral.
GACGAACGCUGGCGGCGUGCUUAACACAUGCAAGUCGAACGGUGAAGGGGUCUGCUUUUGUGGGCCCUGGAUGAGUGGCGAACGGGUGAGUAACACGUGAGUAACCUGCCCCCUUCUUCUGGAUAACCGCAUGAAAGUGUGGCUAAUACGGGAUAUUCUGGGUCUGUCGCAUGAUGGGUCUGGGAAAGAUUGCGCCUUUGGGUGUUUUUGGUGGGGGAUGGGCUCGCGGCCUAUCAGCUUGUUGGUGGGGUGAUGGCCUACCAAGGCGGUGACGGGUAGCCGGCCUGAGAGGGUGGACGGUCACACUGGGACUGAGGCACGGCCCAGACUCCUACGGGAGGCAGCAGUGGGGAAUAUUGCACAAUGGGCGCAAGCCUGAUGCAGCGACGCCGCGUGAGGGAUGGAGGCCUUCGGGUUGUAAACCUCUUUCGCCAGUGAAGCAGGCCUGCUCCUUGUGGGUGGGUUGACGGUAGCUGGAUAAGAAGCGCCGGCUAACUACGUG